CCUGACGCAGCGACGCCGCGUGCGGGAAGAAGGCCUUCGGGUUGUAAACCGCUUUCAGGAGGGACGAGGCCACUCGGGUUAAUAGCCCAGAGGGUGACGGUACCUCCAGAAGAAGCCCCGGCUAACUACGUGCCAGCAGCCGCGGUAAUACGUAGGGGGCUAGCGUUGUCCGGAUUUAUUGGGCGUAAAGAGCGCGUAGGCGGCCGAGUAAGUCCGACGUGAGAUCUGGGGGCUCAACCUCCAGCGGUCGUUGGAAACUACUCGGCUAGAGUCCGGAAGAGGAGAGUGGAAUUCCUGGUGUAGCGGUGAAAUGCGCAGAUAUCAGGAAGAACACCGAUGGCGAAAGCAGCUCUCUGGGACGGUACUGACGCUGAGGCGCGAAAGCGUGGGGAGCGAACAGGAUUAGAUACCCUGGUAGUCCACGCCGUAAACGAUGGGUGCUAGGUGUGGGCGGUGUCGACUCCGCCCGUGCCGCAGCUAACGCAUUAAGCACCCCGCCUGGGGAGUACGGCCGCAAGGCUA
This 522-nucleotide ribosomal RNA is filed under the name uncultured Actinomycetes bacterium. RNAcentral's name for it is "bacterial SSU rRNA". It matches the Rfam family "Bacterial small subunit ribosomal RNA", at positions 382 to 896 of the family's 1533-position model. Lineage: Bacteria; Bacillati; Actinomycetota; Actinomycetes. The record is from RNAcentral.